UUGAUUUCUUUUGAUCUAAAGGCUUUUAUUUGUUCAUUUAAAAAUUCCAUGUGGCCACUCUCAUGUGAUUACCGUCCCAAUUCUCUAUUGCUUUCUCUGCCAUUUUUAUGCCCUGAAUAUGUGCAAUUGACAUGUCUAUGAUUACGCCAUCUUUCGAUUUUAGUAUCAAAAAUCAACAACAACCAUGAUUCACUAUCUAUUGUUUCUAAUUAAUUCAUAAACUCAAUUCCCACACUUUUAAUUUAUUGAUAAACUCAAUGGAAGAAAUUAACAACAAUCAUGAUUCAUGAUCCACUAUCUAAUAUUUGUUACAUUGAUACUGUGUAAAUAAACUGAAAUACCAACCAUGGUUCAUGAUUCACUAUCUAAUAUUUCUAAUUUAUUCAUAAACUCAAUUCCCACACCUUUAAUAUCAUUUUUGUUUCGAUUUCAUAAAUUAAACUUUGCAUACAUUUUUUGUUAGGAUUUACUAUCAAUAUAAGUAAUUAACAAAGGGAGUAAAGAUUGAACAUUGAGAACGAAUUCCCACACCUUUAAUUUAUUCACGACUGGAUCUAGUGGAAAGAAAACAAAGCUUUCUAAUGGAGUUUUAGUAAAUUUGUUAAAAAAAAUCCAAAGUGUUUGAUAAAAUAGCUACACACGGAGCUCAUUUGGAGAACUCUUAAUAGCCUUUGAUUAAAUAAAAUAGAGGGUUUAGAUUUGGUGUCAACGGAUCCUGACUCAUAUAUAUAUAUAUAUAUAUAUAUAUAUAUAUAUAUAUAUAUAUAUAUAUAUAUAUAUAUGUCAAAAAUAUUCUAGGACUUUUGGUUCCCAAAAAAAAAAUCGUCUAUACUUUUGGUCCCUUCUUUUAAGUCAUGUCAUUUGUACCCUACAUAUUUUUGAAUAAAUUUUUGCAAGAAUGUUCAGAAUAUUAUAAGAAUCUUUCUCAAAAAAAUAGAAUUUUUAACAAAACAUAUUAUUAUGAUGUUUUAAGCGCCAAAAAAAUAAAAUUUCAUAUUAAAUUUAUGUUUUGUUGAAAAAUUAUAAUAUUGUUCGGGAGAUAUGCUUAUGAUAAUCUAAACAUAACUGCAAAAUCAAAAUACAAAAUUUUGAAUGAUACAUAUGAGUUGAUUUAAAAAAACAGAGUACAAAGUUGUGAUGAAAACAUUUGCGGUACUAAAAAUUGAAAUUUUUUAAAGAGACUAAAACUAAAAGUUAAAAUAUUUAUAGAGACCAAAAAGAUAUUUCACCUUGUAUAUAAUCUCUUUUAUCUUUGGGCAAAAAAGUAGUUCACUAGUGAACUCAAGAGCAACACCAGAUCCCUUUGACUAGAUAAAUUUCUUGCUUGAGCUCCUCUUUGCCUUCCACCUAAGCUGCCCAGUGAAGCCUCAUAGGGCAGGAUAUGAUAGAGUCUGGUCAUGGAAAAGAUUCUCUUCAAGUGAAUCAGCCCCUUAUAUCGGAGCACAUACCUUCUUGUCUACUAUUAGACAAGAGCUCACUUCAACUAAGUCAGUCAUGUCUCAUCGUAUACCAUUUUGUUCUGGAAUAUUGGGGACUCGCGGUCAAUACCAAGGUGUAGGUUGGGGAUACUCCUUCGAUCUUCCCAUUCAUUUUCAUUGUUAGUGGAUCCCUCUUCUCCUAAUUCUUUCCAUUCUAACAACCAAGAAUCCAUAAUAAUUCUUAAAUCCAUAACACCAUAUGUUUCAUUACAAAUGUAUUAUUUUAGUUAUGUGCAGUUCUUAACAAAUGAUUAAUCGUAUUGAUUUUGAUGAUAAAACGAGUUUCAAUUACUAAAACACUUUUAUUAAUUAUAGUCAGUGGACUACUUAAAUGAAUUAAGAUACUGAAGUAGGGGAAAAACAAUUAACGCUUCAUAAAUUUUCUAAAGAGACGGUCGAUUUGAGAUAGAAAUAUUACAAUUGAAACACGACUUUGUCUAACCUACAAGAGUAAAUUGAUUUUUCACCAUGCACAAGUUUAUUUUUCCAGCAUUAGAACAAUAAUACUUUUCAUAUUUCAUUUAAUUUAAUAGUAAACUUUAUUUAUCUAAUGAUGAAAAUAACCUUAUGCAUGGUACAAAUUUUAUCUUUCUUGUGCAUAAGAGAC
This 2085-nucleotide long non-coding RNA is filed under the name Medicago truncatula (barrel medic). Its description in RNAcentral is "long non-coding RNA (MTRU_LNC003437)". Lineage: Eukaryota; Viridiplantae; Streptophyta; Magnoliopsida; Fabales; Fabaceae. The record is from RNAcentral.